Molecule: long non-coding RNA, 250 nt
Filed under: Carica papaya (papaya)
Lineage: Eukaryota; Viridiplantae; Streptophyta; Magnoliopsida; Brassicales; Caricaceae
Description: long non-coding RNA (CPAP_LNC008839)
Source: RNAcentral
UAUGCUCACAUGCAUAAUCACAAAAGGUGCCGACUUCCUUUACAUAAAACAUUACAAUACAUAUAUAUAUAUAUAUAUAUAUAUAUAAAUCAGAGACAACAAAACGGGUUCUAUUGUUCAACAUUUAUAUCAUAUUAGCCCAACUCAAACAUUACUACUUUCUUCCCCCAGCUCCAAUUCACUUCACUUUCACACCAAGCAAAGUUGAUCAGUACAUGCACUCUGGACAUCCAGGCACCAAGCUUUUUUA